This 495-nucleotide ribosomal RNA is filed under the name uncultured bacterium. Its description in RNAcentral is "partial 16S ribosomal RNA". It matches the Rfam family "Bacterial small subunit ribosomal RNA", at positions 28 to 507 of the family's 1533-position model. The record is from RNAcentral.
GACGAACGCUGGCGGCGUGCCUAAUACAUGCAAGUAGAACGCUGAAGGAGGAGCUUGCUUCUCCGGAUGAGUUGCGAACGGGUGAGUAACGCGUAGGUAACCUGCCUGGUAGCGGGGGAUAACUAUUGGAAACGAUAGCUAAUACCGCAUAACAGUAGAUGUUGCAUGACAUUUGCUUAAAAGGUGCAAUUGCAUCACUACCAGAUGGACCUGCGUUGUAUUAGCUAGUUGGUGAGGUAACGGCUCACCAAGGCGACGAUACAUAGCCGACCUGAGAGGGGGAUCGGCCACACUGGGACUGAGACACGGCCCAGACUCCUACGGGAGGCAGCAGUAGGGAAUCUUCGGCAAUGGACGGAAGUCUGACCAAGCAACGCCGCGUGAGUGAAGAAGGGUUUCGGAUCGUAAAGCUCUGUUGUAAGAGAAGAACGAGUGUGAGAGUGGAAAGUUCACACUGUGACGGUAUCUUACCAGAAAGGGACGGCUAACUACGUG